GAGUGUCACAUCCCGACCCUUAUAUUUUUACCUUAUUUACUAGCCUGAUUAUAAUAAGAAUUUUACCGUCUCCGUAAUUGAGUAAAUAGUUUAAUUGGUCCCUAGAAGGGUUUCGGGGACGAUUUAUGUGCGGAGGAUUAUUCGUAUGAGGAAAAUUCGACGACGGUAAAAAUGGUAAAUUUUAGCUAGUAAAAGGUAAUUUUUAUUCGGGUAUUAUUUUUUCGGGGUGUUUUUAUUUUUGGAAUUUGGGUUGAUAUAGGUUGGACCGGUGGAGGCCCAACCCAUUUCUUUUUCCUUCUCCCUUUCUCUUCUUCCCUCUUUUCUUUUCCUCUCCCCGAGCCUCCCGCUGCCCGGUUUUCCGGCCGUCCUCCCGCCGCCGUCCGGCCACCAACCGUCGCCGCACCGGUCCCGUUCGGUCGACCUCCAACCCAACAACCUCCCUGGACCGGUGAGAGGAGCCCUAGCUCCGCCGUGAGAGAGCGGUGCCACCCGAAAGCUCCGACUGCCGAAUCGGUUUUCUCGCCGGAACUUCCUCCUCCGGCCACCAAUCCGGGCAAGCUUGGUACGGUUUUGUAGCCCUCCUCCCGUGCAACAACCCCUCCAAACAGCUCCCUCCCUCUUGAGCUAGGUAAGGAGAAAUGUGGAGUUGAAAUUUCUAGGCUUUUAAGUUAUUUUCGUUCGAUUAGCCUAGUUAGGCUUGGAAUUGGGUGAUGUGUUGGUCAUGAAAGUUGUAGAGCAUGAUGAGGAGAUUAUUCUGUCAAAAUUUCAUAGGUUUUGGAGAUCGCCGGAAAACGGCUGCCGGCGGAGCCGCCGGCGGCGCCGCCGCCGGUUAGGAGAUUUUUAGGGUUUUAAAUGUGGAAUAUUAAGAGGAGUAUAUUGGUGUGAUUUUAUGGAAUUUUUGGAUGAGAUUUGGUUAGGUUUGUGAAUUUCCGAAGUUAGGUAUUUUUGGCGGUUAAUUAAUGUAGAAUCCGGCCGUAGGAUUUAAGUCGUAUUUUAGAGAGGUUGUAUUUACGACUGUUGAGUAUGAUAUUUAAGUUCGGAUCGUUCCGAUUUAAGAA
Molecule: long non-coding RNA, 1058 nt
Filed under: Fragaria vesca (wild strawberry)
Lineage: Eukaryota; Viridiplantae; Streptophyta; Magnoliopsida; Rosales; Rosaceae
Description: long non-coding RNA (FVES_LNC004808)
Source: RNAcentral